RNAcentral lists this ribosomal RNA (253 nucleotides) under uncultured bacterium. Its description in RNAcentral is "partial 16S ribosomal RNA". It matches the Rfam family "Bacterial small subunit ribosomal RNA", at positions 524 to 776 of the family's 1533-position model. The record is from RNAcentral.
UACGUAGGGUGCGAGCGUUAAUCGGAAUUACUGGGCGUAAAGCGUGCGUAGGCGGUUCGUUAAGUUCGUUGUGAAAGCCCCGGGCUCAACCUGGGAACUGCAAUGGAAACUGGCGGGAUUGAGUGUGGCAGAGGGGGGUGGAAUUCCGCGUGUAGCAGUGAAAUGCGUAGAGAUGCGGAGGAACACCGAUGGCGAAGGCAGCCCCCUGGGCCAACACUGACGCUCAGGCACGAAAGCGUGGGGAGCAAACAGG